This 361-nucleotide ribosomal RNA is filed under the name uncultured bacterium. RNAcentral describes it as "bacterial SSU rRNA". It matches the Rfam family "Bacterial small subunit ribosomal RNA", at positions 29 to 417 of the family's 1533-position model. The record is from RNAcentral.
AAUGAACGCUGGCGGCAGGCCUAAAACAUGCAAGUCGAACGCUGUAGCAAUACAGAGUGGCGCACGGGUGAGUAACAUGUGGGAAUAUGCCUAUUGGUACGGAACAACGUUUGGAAACGAACGCUAAUACCGUAUGGUCCCUUCGGGGUAAAGAUUUAUCGCCAAUAGAUUAGCCCGCACUAGAUUAGCUAGUUGGUGAGGUAAGAGCUCACCAAGGCGACGAUCUAUAGCUGGUCUGAGAGGACGAUCAGCCACACUGGGACUGAGACACGGCCCAGACUCCUACGGGAGGCAGCAGUUAGGAAUAUUGGACAAUGGGCGCAAGCCUGAUCCAGCCAUGCCGCGUGAGUGAUGAAGGCCU